This is a long non-coding RNA of Amphimedon queenslandica, 447 nucleotides long. RefSeq lists it as uncharacterized. The transcript has 2 exons. NCBI's taxonomy places the organism in Eukaryota, Metazoa, Porifera, Demospongiae, Haplosclerida, Niphatidae. The record is from RefSeq and is a predicted model, not a curated record.
AGUAAAUGAAAGGGAUAGGAAACUUCCGUUGCGUGGGCGGAUUAUUUCAUUAAGAUUAUUAGGUUGCCUAGCAACAUAGGCAAGUUACCCUUCCCGGGCCUUUUCCUUCACUGUUCGGCGUCCUAUUUCAACUCAUAACUCUAAAGUGACUUGUGAUCGUCCUCUGCAAUGAUAAUUAAAGGCAUUACAGAUACCUCCCUUACAGUCUGUCUAAUUUUUGAAGUAAAGUAAUAUUGAUAACUAUGGAAUACAAAAGAAGUAAUACCAGAAUUAACUAUUACCAACUAUUUUAUACAUUAUUAUGGAGGGCACGCAACAUAAAUGACUCCGAUGACAGAUUUGGUGACUGAUUUAUAAUCAAUUCAAAGUUUUUGCAAAGACCUUCGUUUUGUACCUUUUUCUUUACAGCUCAAUGAUUGGCACAUUUAAAUGUGAUAUGAAAGCAAA